UACGGAGGGUGCAAGCGUUAUUCGGAAUCAUUGGGUGUAAAGCGCAUGUAGGCGGCUGAGUGUGUCAGAUGUGAAAGCCCGGGGCUUAACCCCGGAAGUGCAUUUGAAACUGCUCAGCUUGAGUCUCGGAGAGGAAAGUGGAAUUCCCAGUGUAGAGGUGGAAUUCGUAGAUAUUGGGAGGAACACCGGUGGCGAAAGCGACUUUCUGGACGAUGACUGACGCUCAGAUGCGAAAGCGUGGGGAGCAAACAGG
This 253-nucleotide ribosomal RNA is filed under the name uncultured bacterium. RNAcentral describes it as "partial 16S ribosomal RNA". It matches the Rfam family "Bacterial small subunit ribosomal RNA", at positions 524 to 776 of the family's 1533-position model. The record is from RNAcentral.